Long non-coding RNA from Mugil cephalus (flathead mullet), 873 nucleotides. RefSeq lists it as uncharacterized. The transcript has 6 exons. The record is from RefSeq and is a predicted model, not a curated record. NCBI's taxonomy places the organism in Eukaryota, Metazoa, Chordata, Actinopteri, Mugiliformes, Mugilidae.
AAAUAAAAUGUAUUUAAUUUUUUGUCGCUCAACAUAUACGUCACAACUGCCGACGUGCGACACCCCCCCGGCAGGUCCAGUCCGCUAUUUAUCGGACUUUUCGACCCCAGGCAGAAAAGUUCAUGUGAUUUCAUCAAACUCAAUCAUGUGUGGCUGUAUGGAAGAGUGCCGAGUCUUCAGACAUCCAAGAAAUGCUGAACAGGCAUAAUGAAACAACUACACCGCGAGCUACUUUCAAACUACUGAGACCGGACCGUCUGGACGUCUCCAUUUUACGUACAAUUCUCUCUGUGUAUGAAAAAUGCAAGAAGAAUAUAUGUGGAGCUGAAGACAGACAACAGGGUAGAGUGAAGCACACUGAGAGAUGAAAUCAUCCAUUCGGAAAGACAACACGAGUGCGGCCUGAUUAAACAACCAAGCACAGUCCAACUAAAAUCUACUACACCUCGAUGGCUUCAGUGGAGUGCUCUGCUUCGAGAGUGGUGCACAGCAGCCUGAUAUGGACUUGUGAUGAUAAAGGACUCAUUGCUGUCUGUGAGUAGCGUCACCCAACUCUCACCCAAAACUGUGCCGCAGGCUAGUCACGCCAAAAACCUUGAGUAGAUGGGGAAUGCGGCAGUUCCUCAAAUGGCCACUUGAGGCUGUCUCCAAACUGGAGUCGAUCUCCACAGACCUCCGUAUUAAAAGUUGACAUCAGAAAUAAACAUGUUAUCAGCUUUGAACAAAAUACGGAUUUGGCCUCUGUGUUUCAUUUCUGAAACAGUGUGUAAUUUUGUGUAAUUGUGGGUGUGGUCAGUUUGAGUGACAGGCAGGCGACCUCACAGGUUGCUAGCUGUCCACCUAGCUUUCACUAACACACUUAGGCUACACUCA